RNA transcript from Cucumis sativus (cucumber), 2462 nucleotides. It is a transcript of the gene named probable alpha-amylase 2, with no coding region annotated. The transcript has 17 exons. NCBI's taxonomy places the organism in Eukaryota, Viridiplantae, Streptophyta, Magnoliopsida, Cucurbitales, Cucurbitaceae. The record is from RefSeq and is a predicted model, not a curated record.
GUGAUUCAAUUAGCGUACGUUCAAUCGGACGGUCCACUGUUAGUAUUCCAUGAAACUGACUGUUGCUUAACGCUUAAGCCAUUUGCAAAAUGGUCAGAGACGGAACUCCACAUCCCGCACCCCCUCGAUUGGUUCUAGCCAAGAAUCUCGAGCCCACGCGGCUGCAAUUCAAUUGCCUCAUUGCAAAUGGUUCGAACAGAUAAAAUCGUUUCCCUGAACCAGCAGAACCAAGGACGUCGAACCGCGAAGUGAUUGCUUCUUGCGGUAAAUGUCUUCGCGCCAAUCUGAAACUGUGAUUUCAGCUGAUUAAUUCGUAUUGUCAAGGACUAGGACGUCCCUAUAUUCUGCAACCAAGACGGUUUUCACAAGUUUCUCCCAAGUAUUAUGGGUGACCAUGAUAAUGUUUUUGAUGAAAGCUACGAAAAGACUGAUACUGGGGCAGUGAUACGCAAUGGAAGAGAAAUCCUUUUCCAGGCAUUCAGCUGGGAAUCUCAUAAAUAUGAUUGGUGGGAAAAUCUAGAGAGUAAAGUUCAUGAUAUCGCAAAAAGUGGAUUUACCUCUGCAUGGUUGCCUCCUCCAACUCAUUCCAUUGCUCCUCAAGGUUACCUCCCUCAGAACCUUUACUCCCUAAACUCUUCAUAUGGUUCUGAGGACAUGCUGAAAACUUUACUUCUCAAAAUGAAGCAGUGCAAGGUUAGAGCAAUUGCUGACAUAGUCAUCAAUCAUCGUGUUGGGACUGUUGUAGGACAUGGAGGAAUGCAUAAUCGCUUUGACGGAAUACUAUUACCAUGGAACGAGUAUGCUGUUACCUCGUGUUCUGGUGGCCUGGGCAAUCGUAGCACUGGUGACAACUUCCAUGGGGUUCCAAACAUUGAUCAUACCCAACCUUUUGUCCGUAGAGAUAUCAUAGCAUGGCUGAAGUGGCUACGCAGUAGUGUUGGAUUUCAGGAUUUUCGUUUUGAUUUUGCAAGGGGUUUUUCUGCAAAAUUCGUGAAAGAAUAUAUUGAAGCGGGAAAGCCAAUGCUUUCUAUUGGGGAAUAUUGGGAUUCUUGUAAUUAUAAUGGUCAUGACUUGGACUAUAAUCAAGAUGGACAUAGACAGCGGAUAAUAAAUUGGAUUGAUGGCACAGGACAACUUUCAGCUGCUUUUGAUUUUACAACUAAGGGAGUCCUUCAGGAAGCUGUUAGAAGACAAUUAUGGCGUCUGCGUGACUGUCAAGGAAAGCCACCAGGUGUGAUGGGAUGGUGGCCUUCAAGGGCCGUGACAUUCUUAGAUAAUCAUGAUACCGGUUCAACGCAGGCCCAUUGGCCCUUUCCUGCCAACCAUAUCAUGGAGGGCUAUGCAUAUAUUCUCACGCACCCAGGGAUACCAACAGUAUUUUAUGACCACUUAUACGAAUGGGGUGACUCAGUGCACGACGAGAUAGUAAGAUUAAUAGACAUUCGAAAACAUCAAGACAUCAACAGUCGGUCAUCUGUGAAGAUCCUCGAGGCACGAUCAGAUCUUUAUUCUGCAAUAAUUGGGGAGAAAUUGUGCAUGAAGAUCGGAGAUGGUUCUUGGUGUCCUUCUGGUACGGAAUGGACUCUUGCAACCUCUGGCUGGAGAUAUGCAGUGUGGCAGAAAUAAGUGUGUGCCACAUAGCAGAAGUGUAGGGAAGAGACGACAAAGCAUCGCCAUCACAAUACCACGGUCAAUCCCCUCAUCAUUUUUGCUUUGAAACUCCAAAAGAUACACAGAACAACGCAACCCUUCCACGGCUUCCCUUAAUCUUGACCUUCAUCCCGUAUAUUAUUCUCUUCGUGCAGGAUUAUAAAGUAGAUUUUUCUUGAGGCUCCAAAUGCAGCAGCCAGCGAUGAACUCUUUCUCUCUGACGUCCACCGCCGGAGCAUAAUUGGGGAUUCUAAGAUAUCCACUUUUUAACCACAACGGCUCGCAAUCAUUGAAAACAGUAUGGGAAUCCCAUCCAGUAUCCACCGAGAGCUGUGCAGUAAACAAAAGUGUAAGGCCCACUUGAACAAUAACAAAAUGUUGUUGGUUUUUACUGCUUGCUUGCUGCCUGAUUCUUUGAAUGAAAUUCAACUUUGUGGUUUGGUCAACCAUCCUGAAUUUUAGUUAAGAAAGAGAAAGAAAAUUAGAUGCUUAUAAGCAUGCGUAAGUGAAGUUUUCUAGUGGUCGUCCCUACAAACAAAAUGCCAUAUACACGUUUCCCCAAGGAACAUGGAAGUUGUUGGAAUUUUUGCACCCCAGCCCUAGCAACGAACCACAUGAUCAAAGUCCUUUCCAAGAUUCAAGUAAAGAUCACAUGAAUGUUUUCCCUAUCAACAUUAGACUAAGUGAAGGAUAGUGGGUCAUUUUAGAAUUUUUGACUCAUGUCGGUUUCUACUAUUUAUAAGAAUUUUUUUAGUACCAUUGGAGUAUCAUUGCUUUCUUUCGUUUAUACUAUAAGUUUGCUUUUCUAAAUA